Orbicella faveolata is the source of this 1150-nucleotide long non-coding RNA. Lineage: Eukaryota; Metazoa; Cnidaria; Anthozoa; Scleractinia; Merulinidae. The record is from RefSeq and is a predicted model, not a curated record.
UACAAAAAUUAUCAUCGAAAAGUCUGCAUGCACAUGUGUUGCUAAACUGGGUAAAACGCUCGUAUACGUGCCAUAAUAAGCUUUAAAACUGCACGUUGAAACAUGCUGUGAUUUGUUUACAUAUCUGUGGUAGCUGAAAGAUAAUUUUAAGAAAUACAAGAUAAGUUUUCCAAGAAAUUCUCACCUGGAAAUUAAGAAAAUCUAGUUUUUUGCCUCAAAAAUUGGGGGUCGACUUAUACACGGGAUUGACUAAUACACGGGUAUAUACGGUAGCUACCCGAACAACCCCUCGAUACGUCCAAUGUUUGAAUUUUUGCGCUGGCCGUACAAAGAAAGAAUCUCGUUUAUGAGAAGUUUUGGUGUAUACAGCAGAGAAAGAGAAAAGAACUUCAGACAAAAAUCUUUGCUCUGUGGGAUAAUUCUAACUAUGCUAAAAGCGUUGCAUAGAAAUACUAAAGCCGAUAAUGUUCUCUUAAAGUGAAGUCCCAGUAGCUGUUUACAAAAUGGACUCCAGUUAGCAGAAUAAAGGGAAAGGGUUAUUAGGCGAUGAGUAACAAAAUUAAGAACUAAGUGCAAUGAAGAACUAAAACAAACAUUUCUUUUCAGGAUGGAGGGUUUGACGUUUGAGGAAGAGGAGGAGGAGAUGGAGUGAGAGACAACUGUUGUGGAAGAGGUUAGUAAACAGUAUUGCACCAUGUUUCCGUACACGAGGCAGUUGUCUCCAUCAUAUGCUACGAGGACACCAAUGAGGGUUCCCCUCCAGCUCUUCCCAAGGUGAUUGCAUCUCUACUGACAGUUAAAAUGACUCCGGAAAAAGUGGCCGAGUCUUGGCUUUGUGUGCUGAGCUCUUAAGUUAUGCUGUUCUGUCUGCUUAAGCGAAUUCCAAGAGGGUGAGCAAUCUACCCAGCUGCCAUGCAGCCAUGAAUUUUACAAUCAGUGCAUCACAACAUGGCUACAAAUGCAGGCCACUUGUCCAACGUGCAGAGACGAGUUGCUCCACUGAAGAAACAACUGUAAAUUGUAAACGUUGGUAUUAUAAGUUUUGUUAGUAUCGUUAAAUUGUAAGUCACAUUAACAUUGUAAGUAAUAGGUAAUUUUUGUAUGUAGUGUAAUGUAAGUUAUUGCAUUAAUAAAAUUAAAAAAAAAAAAA